Molecule: ribosomal RNA, 253 nt
Filed under: uncultured bacterium
Lineage: Bacteria
Description: partial 16S ribosomal RNA
Rfam family: Bacterial small subunit ribosomal RNA
Source: RNAcentral
UACAGAGGUCUCAAGCGUUGUUCGGAUUCAUUGGGCGUAAAGGGCGCGUAGGCGGCGGGGUAAGUCGGGUGUGAAAUCUCAGAGCUCAACUCUGAAAUGGCACUUGAUACUGCUCUGCUAGAGGAGUGGAGAGGAGAUUGGAAUUCACGGUGUAGCAGUGAAAUGCGUAGAUAUCGUGAGGAAGACCGGUGGCGAAGGCGACUACCUGGCCUGUUCUUGACGCUGAGGCGCGAAAGCCAGGGGAGCGAACGGG